This is a long non-coding RNA of Dreissena polymorpha, 275 nucleotides long. RefSeq lists it as uncharacterized. The transcript is spliced from 2 exons. NCBI's taxonomy places the organism in Eukaryota, Metazoa, Mollusca, Bivalvia, Myida, Dreissenidae. The record is from RefSeq and is a predicted model, not a curated record.
UGUAAAUGUAUAUACAAUAAAUGGAAUUCAUUUAUUAGGCUCAGUAGGCUGUAUAGAAUUAUAAAAACAUUUUUUUCAAUUUAAUUUGUCACAGCAGUAAGAAACAAUAAUCCCAACGCUGUGUGUUGUAUUAUGAAGCAGGGGUGUAAUAAACAAUAAUCCCAACGCUGUGUGUUGUAUUAUGAAGCAGGGUGUAAGAAACAAUAAUCCCAAAGCUGUGUGUUGUAUUAUGAAGCAGGGUGUAAUAAAAGUUAUUAAGAAGUGGAGAUCAUAUU